This 422-nucleotide ribosomal RNA is filed under the name uncultured bacterium. RNAcentral describes it as "partial 16S ribosomal RNA". It matches the Rfam family "Bacterial small subunit ribosomal RNA", at positions 360 to 774 of the family's 1533-position model. The record is from RNAcentral.
AAUUUUGGACAAUGGGGGAAACCCUGAUCCAGCCAUCCCGCGUGUGUGAUGAAGGCCUUCGGGUUGUAAAGUACUUUUGACAGAGAAGAAAUGACAGGACCUAAUAAGUGCUGCAGAUGUCGGUACCUGGAGAAUAAGCACCGGCUAACUACGUGCGAGCAGCCGCGGUAAUACGUAGGGUGCAAGCGUUAAUCGGAAUUACUGGGCGUAAAGGGUACGUAGGCGGCUAGGAAAGAAAGAUGUGAAAUCCCAGGGCUCAACCUUGGAACUGCAUUUUUAACUACCUGGCUAGAGUAUGUCAGAGGGGGGUAGAAUUCCACGUGUAGCAGUGAAAUGCGUAGAGAUGUGGAGGAAUACCGAUGGCGAAGGCAGCCCCCUGGGAUAAUACUGACGCUCAGACACGAAAGCGUGGGGAGCAAACA